UAGGGAAUCUUCGGCAAUGGGGGCGAACCCUGACCGAGCAACGCCGCGUGAGCGAUGAAGUAUUUCGGUAUGUAAAGCUCUAUCAGCAGGGAAGAAAAUGACGGUACCUGACUAAGAAGCACCGGCUAAAUACGUGCCAGCAGCCGCGGUAAUACGUAUGGUGCAAGCGUUAUCCGGAUUUACUGGGUGUAAAGGGAGCGUAGACGGAGAGGCAAGUCUGAUGUGAAAACCCGGGGCUCAACCCGGGACUGCAUUGGAAACUGCUUUUCUAGAGUGUCGGAGAGGUAAGUGGAAUUCCUAGUGUAGCGGUGAAAUGCGUAGAUAUUAGGAGGAACACCAGUGGCGAAGGCGGCUUACUGGACGAUGACUGACGUUGAGGCUCGAAAGCGUGGGGAGCAAACAGGAUUAGAUACCC
This 415-nucleotide ribosomal RNA is filed under the name uncultured bacterium. RNAcentral describes it as "bacterial SSU rRNA". It matches the Rfam family "Bacterial small subunit ribosomal RNA", at positions 355 to 787 of the family's 1533-position model. The record is from RNAcentral.